Conger conger (European conger) is the source of this 581-nucleotide long non-coding RNA. RefSeq lists it as uncharacterized. The record is from RefSeq and is a predicted model, not a curated record. NCBI's taxonomy places the organism in Eukaryota, Metazoa, Chordata, Actinopteri, Anguilliformes, Congridae. The transcript has 2 exons.
CGCAGAACAGUGAUGAAAACGAGAUAAUGCAGCAGUGGAAAGGCAUGGAGUUACUGGUGACAUUCCAACCACACUUGCUGGCGAAUGCGAUUAUGGAAAUGUCGAGCGGAUCUGACGACAUACCGACCUCAAGAGCAAAGAACCGCACAGCCUAGUUAUUGUUUGUUGGAUCGCGCAAGAAUGCAACGGAAUUCAAUGACUCAAAAGGCUCAUUCAUAUUUAUCAGAUUUUCAAACUGAAUAACUUGCAACCUUUGCAACGUGUAUGGUUUAUCUUCCUGAAAUUCCUGUAUUAUUCCUGUAUUUAAGAUGACUUAAUGAAGCGGUCAUCACUUAGCAAGACUAUGGUUAUUGAUUAUCACUAUCGGAAAAAAAACAGUUGUUGAUUAAAUGGCUUUGGUGGCAAUCUGGUUAAGUGGUCAUUUGUGGCUGCCCUACUUCCUGGUUGGUGAUGCUGUUUUUGUGCCUGAUUGAUUAUAUUUUGGUGAUGUGAUUGGCUACUGUCCUGCACUGUGCAUCUCAAGCCUGGUGAAAAAAAAAAUGUAAAAAAAAUAAACCGUCUGUCGAGUGGUCGCAAAUUGA